GUACUGUGAUCGCUCUUCAGUUGUUGAAUAAAUCUUUCGCCUUUUACUAAAGAUUUCCGUGGAGAGACAUAUUCUAAUGAGACUAAACUGAUCAUUUAUCAUUUGAUCUUGAUACUAUCG
Anopheles gambiae str. PEST is the source of this 120-nucleotide small nuclear RNA. It matches the Rfam family "U5 spliceosomal RNA". From Rfam's summary of the family: U5 RNA is a component of both types of known spliceosome. The precise function of this molecule is unknown, though it is known that the 5' loop is required for splice site selection and p220 binding, and that both the 3' stem-loop and the Sm site are important for Sm protein binding and cap methylation. The record is from Rfam. NCBI's taxonomy places the organism in Eukaryota, Metazoa, Arthropoda, Insecta, Diptera, Culicidae.